GACGGGGCCCGCACAAGCGGAGGAGCAUGUGGUUUAAUUCGAUGAUACGCGAGGAACCUUACCUGGGCUCGAACGUAAGAUGACUGUAGGUGAAAGCUUACAUCUCUUCGGAGCAUUUUACGAGGUGCUGCAUGGUUGUCGUCAGCUCGUGCCGUGAGGUGUCGGGUUAAGUCCCAUAACGAGCGCAACCCCUACCUUUAGUUGCCAUCAGGUUAAGCUGGGGACUCUAAAGGAACUGCCUACGCAAGUAGUGAGGAAGGCGGGGAUGACGUCAAAUCAGCACGGCCCUUACGUCCAGGGCUACACACGUGCUACAAUGGCCGAUACAGAGGGCAGCUACCUGGUGACAGGAUGCAAAUCUCCAAAGUCGGUCUCAGUUCGGAUCGGAGUCUGCAACCCGACUCCGUGAAGUUGGAUUCGCUAGUAAUCGCGCAUCAGCCAUGGCGCGGUGAAUACGUUCCCGGGCCUU
This 469-nucleotide ribosomal RNA is filed under the name uncultured Sphingobacteriales bacterium. RNAcentral's name for it is "bacterial SSU rRNA". It matches the Rfam family "Bacterial small subunit ribosomal RNA", at positions 916 to 1381 of the family's 1533-position model. The record is from RNAcentral. Lineage: Bacteria; Pseudomonadati; Bacteroidota; Sphingobacteriia; Sphingobacteriales.